AACGAACGCUGGCGGCAUGCCUAACACAUGCAAGUCGAACGAGACCUUCGGGUCUAGUGGCGCACGGGUGCGUAACGCGUGGGAACCUGCCCUUAGGUUCGGAAUAACUCCCCGAAAGAGGUGCUAAUACCGGCUAAUGUCUUCGGACCAAAGAUUUAUCGCCUUUGGAUGGGCCCGCGUUGGAUUAGCUAGUUGGUAGGGUAAAAGCCUACCAAGGCGACGAUCCAUAGCUGGUCUGAGAGGAUGAUCAGCCACACUGGGGCUGAGACACGGCCCGGACUCCUACGGGAGGCAGCAGUGGGGAAUAUUGGACAAUGGGCGAAAGCCUGAUCCAGCAAUGCCGCGUGAGUGAUGAAGGCCGUAGGGUUGUAAAGCUCUUUUACCCGUGAUGAUAAUGACAGUACCGGGAGAAUAAGCUCCGGCUAACUCCGUG
RNAcentral lists this ribosomal RNA (433 nucleotides) under uncultured bacterium. RNAcentral's name for it is "partial 16S ribosomal RNA". It matches the Rfam family "Bacterial small subunit ribosomal RNA", at positions 29 to 507 of the family's 1533-position model. The record is from RNAcentral.